GACGAACGCUGGCGGCGUGCUUAACACAUGCAAGUCGAACGGAAAGGCCCUGCUUUUGUGGGGUGCUCGAGUGGCGAACGGGUGAGUAACACGUGAGUAACCUGCCCUUGACUUUGGGAUAACUUCAGGAAACUGGGGCUAAUACCGGAUAGGAGCUCCUGCUGCAUGGUGGGGGUUGGAAAGUUUCGGCGGUUGGGGAUGGACUCGCGGCUUAUCAGCUUGUUGGUGGGGUAGUGGCUUACCAAGGCUUUGACGGGUAGCCGGCCUGAGAGGGUGACCGGCCACAUUGGGACUGAGGUACGGCCCAGACUCCUACGGGAGGCAGCGGUGGGGAAUAUUGCACAAUGGGCGGAAGCCUGAUGCAGCAACGCCGCGUGCGGGAUGACGGCCUUCGGGUUGUAAACCGCUUUCGCCUGUGACGAAGCGUGAGUGACGGUAAUGAAUAAAGAAGCACCGGCUAACUACGUG
RNAcentral lists this ribosomal RNA (468 nucleotides) under uncultured bacterium. RNAcentral describes it as "partial 16S ribosomal RNA". It matches the Rfam family "Bacterial small subunit ribosomal RNA", at positions 28 to 507 of the family's 1533-position model. The record is from RNAcentral.